GGUGUCUUCUAUUUCAUUGCUCGAAAUUGAUCUGUUGAACUUGUAUCCUGAUUCAUUCUGGGCAAAUCAUAUGACCAUAGAAAUCUGUUGAUCCCUUCGAGAUUUUCUAUUUUACUAGAGUACAAAUUUUCAAAAUAAUUUCUGAUUAUCUUCUGUAUUUCUGUAGUGUCUGUUGUGAUGUUUCCUUUUCAUCUCAUAUGUUAUUGAUUUUGAGUUUUCUCUCUCCUUCUCUUCAUUAGCAUAGCUAAGGGUCUGUCAAUUUUAUUUAUUCCUUCAAAGAACCAACUUUUUGUUUUGUCAAUUAUUUCAGUUGUUUCAAUUUUAUUGAUUUUAGCUCUGAUUUUAAUUAUUUCUUCUGCUGCUUUUGGUGUUGAUUUGUUCUUCUUUUUCUAGGGCUUUGAGUUGUAAUGUUAAGUCAUUUAUUUGUUGACUUUUUCUUCUUUUAAGGAAUGAACUCCAUGCAAUGAACUUUUCUCUUAGUACUGCCUUCAUCAUGUCCCAGAUUUUGAUGUUUUUUCAGUGUUUUCAUUUACCUCUAGAAUAUUUUAAUCUCCUCUUUGAUGUCUUUUGUAACCCAUUGUUCAUUCAAUAGCAUAUUAUUUAGUUUCCAGGUAUUUGAGUAGCUUCUAGUUUUUAUUUUAUCAUUGAUUUCUAAUCUCAUUUCAUUAUGAUCUAAUAGAAUGCAGAGUAAUGUCUCUACUUUUUUGUAUUUGCUAAGAGUUGCUUUGUGGCAUAUGGUCCAUUUUAAAGAGAAUCCAUGUGCUGCUGAGAAGAAAGUAUAUUCACUUGUUGAUGGAUGAAAUAUUCCAUAUAUAUCUGUUAAGUCUAAGUUAUUAAUUGUAUUACUGAGUUCUAUAGUUUCUUUGUUUAGCUUUCAUUUGAAAGAUCUAUCCAGUGGUGAAAUAGUUCUGUUAAAGUCACCCAGAAUUAUUGUAUUGUGGUCUAUUUGACUCUUGAACUUGAGAAGAGUUUGUUUGAUGAAUGUAGAUGUUCCAUUGUUUGUCAUAUAUAUAUUUAUAAUUGUUAAGUCUUGUUGGUGGAUGGUUCCCUUAAGCAGUAUGAAAUAUAUCCCUUUUAAUUAACUUUGGC
RNAcentral lists this long non-coding RNA (1089 nucleotides) under Marmota monax (woodchuck). Lineage: Eukaryota; Metazoa; Chordata; Mammalia; Rodentia; Sciuridae. The record is from RNAcentral.